Molecule: ribosomal RNA, 460 nt
Filed under: uncultured bacterium
Lineage: Bacteria
Description: partial 16S ribosomal RNA
Rfam family: Bacterial small subunit ribosomal RNA
Source: RNAcentral
CCUACGGGAGGCAGCAGUGAGGAAUAUUGGUCAAUGGGCGCGAGCCUGAACCAGCCAAGUAGCGUGAAGGAUGACUGCCCUACGGGUUGUAAACUUCUUUUAUAAAGGAAUAAAGUGAGGCACGUGUGCCUUUUUGUAUGUACUUUAUGAAUAAGGAUCGGCUAACUCCGUGCCAGCAGCCCCGGUAAUACGGAGGAUCCGAGCGUUAUCCGGAUUUAUUGGGGUUAAAGGGAGCGUAGAUGGGUUGUUAAGUCAGUUGUUAGAGUUUGCGGAUCAACCGUAAAAUUGCAAUGGCUACUGGCAGCCUUGAGAACAGUUGAGGUAGGCGGAAUUCGUGGUGUAGCGGUGAAAUGCUUAGAUAUCACGUAGAACUCCGAUUGCGAAGGCAGCUUACUAAACUGCCACUGACAUUGAUGCUCGAAAGUGUGGGUAUCAAACAGGAUUAGAUACCCCGGUAGUC